RNAcentral lists this ribosomal RNA (454 nucleotides) under uncultured bacterium. RNAcentral describes it as "partial 16S ribosomal RNA". It matches the Rfam family "Bacterial small subunit ribosomal RNA", at positions 28 to 507 of the family's 1533-position model. The record is from RNAcentral.
GAUGAACGCUGACAGAAUGCUUAACACAUGCAAGUCUACUUGAACUUCGGUUUGGGUGGCGGACGGGUGAGUAACGCGUAAAGAACUUGCCUCACAGUUAGGGACAACAUUUGGAAACGAAUGCUAAUACCUGAUAUUAUGAUUUUAGGGCAUCCUAAAAUUAUGAAAGCUAUAUGCGCUGUGAGAGAGCUUUGCGUCCCAUUAGCUAGUUGGAGAGGUAACGGCUCACCAAGGCGAUGAUGGGUAGCCGGCCUGAGAGGGUGAACGGCCACAAGGGGACUGAGACACGGCCCUUACUCCUACGGGAGGCAGCAGUGGGGAAUAUUGGACAAUGGACCGAAAGUCUGAUCCAGCAAUUCUGUGUGCACGAUGACGUUUUUCGGAAUGUAAAGUGCUUUCAGUUGGGAAGAAAAAAAUGACGGUACCAACAGAAGAAGUGACGGCUAAAUACGUG